Molecule: long non-coding RNA, 398 nt
Filed under: Zostera marina
Lineage: Eukaryota; Viridiplantae; Streptophyta; Magnoliopsida; Alismatales; Zosteraceae
Description: long non-coding RNA (ZMAR_LNC005680)
Source: RNAcentral
CCAGAGAUUCGUUUAUCAGAAAAUGGUCGAACAGAUGGCCACUUAGAGAAACCAGUGCUCUGUAAUGGUAAUUCGGAAGACGACCAUUGUCAACCGGAGAAGAAGCUCUCACUCUCACACGAGGUAUGUAUUCGUACAACGCUGUGAGUUUUCCUUUAUGUGCUAUGCAUGCUCUUCUCAGGUGUUGGGGUAAAUCUCCCAGGUCGUUUCUUAUUGUAGCCAAGCUACCGAUGAAGUUUGACAGUAUAUCACCGAAAUGCUGUGUUGCCUGCAGAUCAAAGCGAGCAAUGGUUGAGAACUGAGAAGAGAGAAAUGGAUACAUAACUAAUUUUAUCAACCUCUCUGGAAAAUUCGGUCGGAAGAAUGUCGACGGAGAGACAGAUAAUGCCAUCGCCUUC